This 273-nucleotide non-coding RNA is filed under the name uncultured Oleispira sp. Its description in RNAcentral is "Rickettsia sRNA47". It matches the Rfam family "Rickettsia sRNA47", at positions 41 to 316 of the family's 316-position model. The record is from RNAcentral. Lineage: Bacteria; Pseudomonadati; Pseudomonadota; Gammaproteobacteria; Oceanospirillales; Oceanospirillaceae.
UUGUACUGAGCCUUUACCAAAAGAAUUAGUACCAACGAUCACUGCGCGUUUAUGAUCUUGCAAUGCACCGGCAACAAUUUCUGAUGCUGAAGCAGAGCCUCCAUUAAUCAAUACAAUGAGGGGAAUAUCUUUGGCGACAGUCGUUUCUGUGGCCGAAUAGCGGAAGUCGGAAUCGCUAAUGCGACCUUCGGUAUAAACGAUUAAGCCUGAAUCUAAGAAGGCAUCAGAGACUUCAACAGCAGCGUCUAGUACGCCACCUGGGUUAUUGCGUAA